ACGGGGUGCAGCAGGCGCGAAACCUUCACACUGUGCGAAAGCGCGAUGAGGGGAUCCCAAGUGCUUGCACGUAAGUGUAAGCUGUUUCUGUGUCUAAAAAGCAUAGAGAGUAAGGGCUGGGUAAGACGGGUGCCAGCCGCCGCGGUAAUACCUGCAGCUCAAGUGGUGACCGCUAUUAUUGGGCCUAAAACGUCCGUAGCCGGUUUAGUAAAUGCCUGGGUAAAUCGUGUAGCUUAACUAUACGAAUUCCGGGUAGACUGCUAAACUUGAGACCGGGAGAGGCUAGAGGUACUUCUGGGGUAGAGGUGAAAUUCUGUAAUCCUAGGGGGACCACCAGUGGCGAAGGCGUCUAGCUAGAACGGGUCUGACGGUGAGGGACGAAGCCCUGGGGCGCAAACCGGAUUAGAUACCCGGGUAGUCCAGGGUGUAAACGCUGCUUGCUUGAUGUUAGUCGGGCUCUGAGCCCGAUUAGUGUCGGAGAGAAGUUGUUAAGCAAGCUGCCUGGGAAGUACGGCCGCAAGACUGAAACUUAAAGGAAUUGGCGGGGGAGCACAGCAACGGGUGGAGCGUGCGGUUUAAUUGGAUUCAACGCCGGAAAACUCACCGGAGGCGACGGUUACAUGAAGGCCAGGCUGAUGACCUUGCCUGAUUUUCCGAGAAGUGGAGCAUGGCCGCCGUCAGUUCGUACCGUA
This 692-nucleotide ribosomal RNA is filed under the name uncultured archaeon. RNAcentral describes it as "bacterial SSU rRNA". It matches the Rfam family "Archaeal small subunit ribosomal RNA", at positions 325 to 1018 of the family's 1478-position model. The record is from RNAcentral.